CGCUGCUGCGAAACGUGUGGGGCUGUGCUUUGAAGCUGCCUUUGAUUUCGGGUUGAGACGGAAAGGACUCUGUGAGACGUUUGGAUUAUGGAAUUGCGUUUUGAGGAUAUGGGCGCAGAAGUCACGAAGAGUUUACUUUGUUAUUGAGAUGCUCUAUGUUGCUUUAGAUUAUUAUUUUGUACCCUCGCCUUUAUCUUGAUAUAUUCUGUAAGAGGGAUAGGAAUUGUAUUGGAUUAUGCUUGUAAUAAUAUUUAUAUAUGUAUGUAUAUAUACAUGUAUGUACUCUUUAUGAGUUUCUGUAAGUUGUAUGGUAUGUAUGGAUGUGCGUUGUAUAGCAAAAGUAUUUUUGGGAGCGGUA
Arachis ipaensis is the source of this 358-nucleotide non-coding RNA. The record is from RefSeq and is a predicted model, not a curated record. NCBI's taxonomy places the organism in Eukaryota, Viridiplantae, Streptophyta, Magnoliopsida, Fabales, Fabaceae.